This is a small nuclear RNA of Mustela putorius furo (domestic ferret), 105 nucleotides long. The record is from Ensembl. NCBI's taxonomy places the organism in Eukaryota, Metazoa, Chordata, Mammalia, Carnivora, Mustelidae.
GUGCUAAUUUUGGCAGCACAUAUACUAAAAUUGGAGCAAUACAGAUGAUUAGCAUGUCUCUUGCACAAUGAUGACUUGCAAAUUCCUGAAGCAUUCCAUAUUCCU